GUGCCAGCAGCCGCGGUAAUACGUAGGUGGCGAGCGUUAUCCGGAAUCAUUGGGCGUAAAGGGUGCGUAGGCGGCAGAUUAAGUUUGUGGUGAAAGAGCAAGGCUCAACCUUGUUAAGCCACAAAAACUGGUCAGCUAGAGUGCAGUAGAGGCAAGUGGAAUUCCAUGUGUAGCGGUAAAAUGUGUAGAUAUAUGGAGGAACACCGGUGGCGAAGGCGGCUUGCUGGGCUGUAACUGACGCUGAGGCACGAAAGCGUGGGGAGCAAAUAGGAUUAGAUACCCUAGUAGUCCACGCUGUAAACGAUGAAUACUAAGUGUUGGAGAGAUCCAGUGCUGCAGUUAACGCAAUAAGUAUUCCGCCUGGGGAGUAUGCACGCAAGUGUGAA
Molecule: ribosomal RNA, 386 nt
Filed under: uncultured bacterium
Lineage: Bacteria
Description: bacterial SSU rRNA
Rfam family: Bacterial small subunit ribosomal RNA
Source: RNAcentral